RNAcentral lists this unclassified non-coding RNA (245 nucleotides) under Glomeraceae sp. RNAcentral's name for it is "partial contains 5.8S ribosomal RNA and internal transcribed spacer 2". The stretch from base 1 to 71 matches the Rfam family "5.8S ribosomal RNA", at positions 84 to 154 of the family's 154-position model. Lineage: Eukaryota; Fungi; Glomeromycota; Glomeromycetes; Glomerales; Glomeraceae. The record is from RNAcentral.
GUGAAUCAUCAAAUUUUUGAACGCAAAUUGCACUCUCUGGUAUUCCGGAGAGUAUGCCUGUUUGAGAGUCAGUUUAAAUAAAAAUCGGUUUGUUUGCUGCCUUUCUUGGUGACGCACGGAGGUUGGGUCGGCUUGCCUUCGGUUAGUUGACCUAAAAUGUUUCAUAAUUUUUUUCAAACGUAUUUGAAUGAUUAUACGUACGUUUACGAUAUCGAAUACUAGGUGUAGUCGUCCUCAUGAUUCUC